GUUAAUUAGUUAUCCUAAUGAGCUUAAUUAACUUAAUAGUCCCACUGCAGGCGAUGCUACCAGGCAGCCAGGGUGGAGAGCCCUGUGCUGUGAAGUCCUUACUCACAGGUUCUGGGGCCACUGUAUGUGCCCUGGGGGUAGCCCUAGGUGUUGGUCUUGAACUGCUUGCAUCAGGCUCAUGUGCGAGGGAAUAGCAGCCAUCUGGGUGAUGGCUACCCAUGUUUGCAGAUGGCAGUCUCUUAACACAGUGUAACCUUGAGGAUGGCCAGGAGGGAAGUGAAUAGAAGCCUUGUCUGAGAGUGCUUUAAUCUGUUACUAACAUUAAUAAUCUGUUAAUAAUUAAUAAUCUGGACUAACACUCAGGGAGUGUCAGUGAAUGUUAUGAGUUCCAAGAACAAGCCCAUGCCUGCAUGGGAGGAAUCCCCUGUUUCAGGAAAGCAAUGCCCUUGGCUGGACUGCAGACUCCACGUGCAGUACAGACCAGAGACAUGGGUGUGGCGAUCCUGCCUUUUAAGAUGGGGCUCAUUAACUAGUGUAUGCACGUGUAGGCUUAUGCCAUUGGUUGGCAUAAAUGCACUGCUUGGAGGAUUCAGGUUCCUCUUUAAUUGAAGAUUCCGAGAACCAAAAUAUGGGGCCACUUUGCUUUGCUGUUGUGGCCUCUUUGGAAGAUGAAUCUUCUUUUGUAUAUACUAGCAGAGCUGUGCUAACAGGCUCUUUCUGUAAAGUGGGGAAUCUUUUUGGUAGUGUAAACACACACUCUAUACUCUUCCUAUUUCAGUAUAUGUCUGUAAAUACUUCUGGUAUUUCUUGAUAUUGAUGCCUUCCUUGGCAUAGUGGUUGUUCUCAGAUAUAAGUUGUGCUUUGAUCAACUUUUUUUUUUUUUUUUUUUGAGAUGGAGUCUCACUCUGUCACCCAGGGUGGAGUGCAGUGGCACUAUCUUGGUUCACUGCAACCUCUGCCUCCUGGGUUCAAGCGAUUCUCCUGCAUUAGCCUCCCGAGUAGCUGGGACUACAGGCACGUGCCACCAUGCCUGGGUAAUUUUUGUAUUUUUAGUAGAGAUGGGGUUUCACCAUGUUGGUCAGGCUGGUCUUGAACUCCUGACCUCAUGAUCCGCCCACCUCAGCCUCCCAAAGUGCUGGGAUUACAGGUGUAAGCCACCAUGCCUGCCUUUUUAAAAAAAAACAAAAAACAACAAAAAACAAAAAAAAAACAGAAUCUUGCUCUGUUGCCCAGGCUGGAGUGCAAUGGCACGAUCUCGGCUCACUGCAGAGCGAUUCUCCUGCGUCAGCCUCUGAAGUAGCUGGGGCCACAGGCAUGUGCCACCAUGCCUGGCUAAUUUUUGUAUUUUUAGUAGAGAUGGGGUUUCACCAUAUUGGCCAGCUGGUCUUGAACUCCUGACCUCAAGUGAUUCACCUGCCUCGGCCUCUCAAAGUGCUUGGAUUACAGGUGUGAGCCAGCGCGCCCGGCCUCAUUGACUUUCUUUAUUGGCUACGGGUGCUGGGGACACAGGGACCUGGUCAUGCACUGAUGAUGUUGCCCUUUCUCUCCCGUGAAAUGCAGUGGUCCUAUUGGCUACUGAAGGUUUUUGCCAUUUUUUUUUUUAGAGACAGGGUCUCACUCGUGCCCAGGCUGGAAUGCAGUGGUGCAAGCAUAGCUCACUCCAACCUUGAACUCCUGGGCUCAAGCAAUCCUCCCACCUCAGCCUCCAGAGUAGCUGGGACUACAGGCACCCACCACCAUGCCUGCUGGUUUUUGCCUUUUGGAUGAUCAAUGAUGACUUUUUCCUCCUGCUUUCAGGGUGUGCUGGACCGGUUUUCUCAAAUUCAGCCAAAGCUCAUCUUCUCUGUGGAGGCUGUUGUCUAUAAUGGCAAAGAGCACAACCACAUGGAAAAGCUGCAGCAGGUGGUUAAAGGCCUACCAGACUUGAAGAAAGUGGUGGUGAUUCCUUAUGUGUCCUCCAGAGAGAACAUAGACCUUUCAAAGAUUCCAAACAGUGUGUUUCUGGAUGACUUUCUUGCCACCGGCACCAGUGAGCAGGCCCCGCAGCUGGAGUUCGAGCAGCUGCCCUUCAGCCACCCACUGUUCAUCAUGUUCUCAUCGGGCACCACGGGCGCACCCAAGUGCAUGGUGCAUUCCGCUGGGGGCACCCUCAUCCAGCAUCUGAAGGAACACCUGCUGCACGGCAACAUGACCAGCAGUGACAUCCUCCUGUGCUACACCACGGUCGGCUGGAUGAUGUGGAACUGGAUGGUGUCCCUUCUGGCCACAGGAGCGGCCAUGGUCUUGUACGAUGGCUCCCCCCUGGUGCCCACGCCCAAUGUGCUCUGGGACCUGGUUGACAGGAUAGGCAUCACUGUCCUGGUAACUGGGGCCAAGUGGCUGUCAGUGCUGGAAGAGAAGGCCAUGAAGCCGGUGGAAACCCACAGUCUCCAGAUGCUCCACACGAUCCUGUCCACUGGCUCCCCACUGAAAGCCCAGAGCUACGAGUAUGUCUACAGGUGCAUCAAGAGCAGCAUCCUCCUGGGCUCCAUCUCAGGUAUGGCCCCGG
This 2548-nucleotide small RNA is filed under the name Pan troglodytes (chimpanzee). RNAcentral describes it as "retained intron". Lineage: Eukaryota; Metazoa; Chordata; Mammalia; Primates; Hominidae. The record is from RNAcentral.